Molecule: long non-coding RNA, 19381 nt
Filed under: Xyrichtys novacula (pearly razorfish)
Lineage: Eukaryota; Metazoa; Chordata; Actinopteri; Labriformes; Labridae
Source: RNAcentral
AGGAGCUGCAAUAAAACAAAUUUGGACGGGUGUGCGUCUUGCGGGUCGUUGUGGACACCGUGAGUAUUGCGGAAGGAAGAAGGGGACUGCAUGGGGGGAGACCACCACACUACUACUUCUUCUUCUUCUUCGUCUUCUUCUUCCUCUUCCUCCUCAUCUCCUGCGCCGCUGCGCCGCCUGCGCCCUCGUCCCUCUCAGUGAAUCAUUCUCCCACCGUGGUAAAUAUGCCCCCCAAAAAAUCAUCCCAUCUUUUUCUGCCUGUUUUCUCAUCCUGCAUGUUGCUGUCGUGUUGUUUACACAUCACCCCCCACCCAUCAUCAUCAUCAUCAUCAUCAGCGGCAGCAGCAGCCAUUGUUUAUGGGUCUGAGAGAGAGGGAGAGAGGGAGAGAGGGAGAGCGGGGUUAGCCGAUGGCUGUUUAUAUUUUCAGGAGCACGCGGAUAUUCUCCUCCAUCUUCCUCCCAUCAGCUCCUGUCUGCCUCCACAUCUCUCUCUAUCUGCCUGACUCUCUGUCCAUCCUCCUCUCUCACCCUCUCUCCCUCACUCCCUCUCUCUCUCUCCUCUUCCUCCUCGCGCAGCCAGCUCCAUCUCGUGAUUUAUGUUGAGGCAGGGUGUCAGCGUGCGGCCGCGGCUGCCAUUGUGUGUUUGUGAGGGAGUGCUGUUGUUUACGGUGCCGCGCGCGAUAAAUCAUGAUUCCUCCUCCUCCUCCUCCUCCGCUGUGAGGAGAAGAAGAAGAGGAGAAAAAUGACGGUCGAUGGAGCGAUGAUACACCGGAACGAGGAAGGAGAGGACGGAGAAGAGGAGGAGGAGGAAGAGGAGGAGGUAGAAGAAGUCUCGCCUCUGCCGCCGCCGGCUCCUCUCCUCCCGGCUCUCCUCCUCCUCCUGUUCCGGCUCCUCUUCCUCCUUCCUCUCCAUGCCCUCACACACCUGAUUAUUACUCUCUCGCUCUCUCUCCCCCUCCUCUCUCUCUUUUCUUCUUGAAUUACUGCGGAGACCAAUUAACGGGAGAUUUGUUUAAAUCUGCCUCACCGGGGCUCGCCUCGGCCGCCAUGAAAUCUCAUAAAAACAGGAGAAACUCUCAUCCAUCAGCCGGGAGGUGAGAGUCAGGAGCUGGAGCUGUUAGAGACGCGGGUUCGAGCUCAGCCAUGCAGGGCCUGCUCUGGACAGGAGCUUUGCAGGGACAAACAGAGCAGCUUUGGAAACCUUUCACCUGUUAGAGACUGAGUGUUUAACUUUGAGUUUAGUAGAGCAGACUCUCUUCUCCUCCUCUUCUCCUCUCAUUCCUCCUCUCCCAGUUUCUCCUGUUUUCUUUGGAGGACUGCUGGAAUGGAGCUCAGCGCCAUUUUUCAUGUCAGCACUCAGUGUCUCUGUCUUUGCUCAAAUCCUUCAACGUGAAUUCUUCUUACUGUGCAGGAAAACAACAUGCAGACAUUUGGGGGAGUUUCCCUCCUUCUUUGAAAAACUCUCUUAUAUUUAUUAUUUCUAAUGUUUUCUUCAUUCACGUCCUCAGUUUGUGUUUCAGUCUGAGCAGGAAAAUCUGACUAAAGGACAUUUGGAGCUUUGAGAGGUUUGCAUGGAGUCAGAUAAUUUCAUGAGAGUGUGUGUGUGUGUGUGUGUGUGUGUGUGUGUGUGUGUGUGUGUGUGUGUGUGUGUGUGUGUGUGUGUGCUGCAGGUUUGGUGUGGAGUCAGCAGGUAACAUGAGCAAAGUGCAAGAAAAGGAGUCAGAGGAGUCAAAGAUGGAUCAGAUAUAUUUUUAUUUAAACACAAAAACAAACAUUUAUUCUGCAGGACAAUUACAAUAAUAAUCAUAAUAAUAAUAAUAAUAAUAAUAAAUAAGAACUGGGUGGGUUAGUUCACCGGAAUCAUUUCCCAAUCCCAUUUCCUUGGCUGAGUUCGUCUCCUCCUCUCUCUCUCUGUCUCCCCCCUCGGCCAUCUCUACCUGUGUAAACCUCAGUGUAACCAAAUUACCGCGUCCCCUCGUCCUCCCAUCACGUAAUAACAGCAGCAGCAGCUCUUCUCUAAAUGUGUAUUCUCUCUGUCCGCCGCCGUGUCACAAACAAUAUCCCGCCUCAUUUCUGCGGACGGAGACAGAGAGGGGGAGUGACAGCCUCUCCUUCCGCCUUUUUUCAUAUAUAUUUAAAUAUUUUUCCCCCUCUGCCUAUCUCGACCUCAUAUCUGAUUUGUGUGACAGGGGAAGAGCUGGAAACACAUUUCCUCACGCCUCUGCGGGCGCCUGCAGGCACAGGAGGAGUGUUUUCUGCUCCGAGAGGCGAAAGUUAAAAGAGGAGAGCUCAGCUGACUCCAAAAAUUAGUCAAAGAAUAAAAUAGUCCUCCGUCAGCCCCGUGAAGGGAGCAGGCGGAGGUUUAUCUUAUCUUAUCCAGGCAUGUGUCCACGGCUGAGUGUGUUUGUGUGGGAGAUAGUUCCACAUCAAACCGGCUGAAAUAGUUCAAAUAUUUGGAUCGGUGUUGAGAAAUGAUAUCAGGCUCAGUUUGACAUCCAUUAAAGCUGCAGGAGGGAGGGCAGGAGGCCUCUGCCUGCAUCCAAACAACACACAGAUCUACUCCUAACACUCCUACUGCUGCUGCUGCUUCACUCUUCUCUCUGCUCCUCAGAUUAAAAGCCUCCUCAGUCCCAGAAAAGGUGCGUUAAUGUGUGACUUUAGGCUCAGCAGCUCCUCUCAGACUCUUGGAGUCAAAUUAAUGUUUAGCUGCAGAACAAAAGCAGCUUCAUGAGGAAACGGUCCUGACCCACAAUCAGACUUUCUCACUUUAAACAGAUCUGUGGACUAUCAGAGCAAAGGCUGCUAAAGACAAUUCUCCUUUAAUAUUUUCCCACUUAAGUUUUUUCUUCUACUAAAUUUAACUCUAAAAUAAACCACCAUGCUCCUUUAAAUCUAAAUGUAUUAUCAGUUUUAUUUUUACCCGUUUCAGUUGUCAGCAGAAAUGUAGAAAAACGUGUCUUUAACGGAUUAAAUCUCGCGCGUAAAAACUCACCGAAAUGAAACAUCUCUGUGUCUGAAACCUCCGUUUAUUAUCUCACUGCAAACCCACGCGUCUGAAGCAAACAGGCACGCGGACAAGACUCCACACGAGUCGCAUCUUCCCACUCACUACAUACAACGACUGGCAGCCAUAUUGUCUUCUCCUCUGUUCUUUUCCCACGCAGGAAUAAAAGGUCGACAAAAAACACGGAGUGAGAAUCACGAGAAAAAACGGUUAAUUAAGAUAAAAACAGGAGUGACACUUUGUUCAAUCAAACCUAUCAGAAUAUCACGUGUAAUAGUUUUAUAUUUAAUAAUUAUAUAUUUAUAUUUUAAGACUAUUUUUACUCUCGUUUGAAGCAGAUUAUAAAACUCCAUUGAAUCAGGAGGACAAAUCUGACCAAUCCAAACAUCCAAAGUGCAAAGACGUUUUUAAAAUUAUUAUUCUGUAAGUGAAUUUAAUCAAACAAGUUUUUAAUCGUUAGUUUUAUGUCUUUAGGAUCAAGUAGGUCAAUAAAUUCACGUCUAAAAUAAAAGACCGUAUUUUAGACAUAAGGAACAUUUUUCAGACGUAUUUUAUGAAGCUGUUUUUUACGCAAAUUUGAUAAUAGAUUUACUUUAAACCUGCAGAAAUUUACUGUAAAAAAAGAAGCUAAUUACACAUUAAAAAUACAUUUAAAAAAAAAGAGCUGCAGUGUCGAAUUUACCGUCUCAGCUCUCCUUAUUGUCGCUCCAAGCUUUAGUCAGAAACGGCGUUUAUUCCCAGAGUUUUACGCAUGAACGGAGAUCUUCACUCUCUGGACCAAAAUCUGCUGAAUUUUUACCAAAAAAAAAAAGAGGGAGAAAAAAAACUGAGGAGAGCAGCGUGAGGUUAAAAAAGGACCGGAGCAGAAGUUCUCACAUAAAUCAGAGAAACGCUCGGCCUCAUAAAUCUGCAGCUGCUGGACGUUAACGAGCCAAAGAUUAAAGUGAAGGAGAGAAUAAUGUCAACAAGAGAGAGAGAGACUUUACCUCAGCGAGCUAACGAGAGGAGAGACAACAACACGACAGGACAUAUAACUGUUAUUAUCAUUAUUAUUAUUAUUAUUAUUAUUAUUAUUUCCUACAUUUGCAGUCUGCAGAGCUCCUCUCUCGUGCUCCACUCGCCAGGUAUUUCCGGGGCUUUUCCUCGCGCGGAGAUGAUCACCCGUUCGGAAAUAAAUCAAUAAGAAGCCUCGCGCUAAUUUAUAAUCGUCCGCGCGAGGCCAUUGAUUCAACGCGCGUGAAAAAUGAGCCGCUGAACCCGUAUCCAGAGCCCGCGAGCUGAUUCUUUUUUUUUCUUAACCCGGACCGGAGCGGCGUGCACGAGGCUGAUAAGACUAAAGUGCUGAGGCGGAAAUGUUUCCACGAGGACAGGAGCAGCAGGAGCGCGAGCGAUUCUCUCUUCUUUUAUCAAAACUAAAAACACGGACUCUGAUUUGCUGAAAUUGAACUUCUCUCUUUCUCUGUCCUCGUGCUUUAUCUCCCUCACUGUCCUGAGUGCGCGUGUGUGUGUUUGUGCGUGUGUGUGUUUGUGUGUGGCAGUAAAGGCCUGUCGAUAUGCGUGGGUAGGGACCGUAAAUACACAGACAAAAGCAGGGAGAGCGCGAGCAAAGCCAAGUGCACGUUAGAGAUUUAUCAAAAGUCUAAAUUUAACUCUGAUAUCGCGAGAACUGAGGCGCCAAAACACCAGCAGGAAUAAAGAUUUACGAUCGAGAAUUAUGUCGAGAGAUUUCUCACGAUCUUCCUCGACAUGAACACAACAAACGGCCCAGCCCUUCAAAAUAAAAGCCCAAUUUUCUCCUAUUAUUGUUGUCCUCUCUCUCCUGACCUCUGGGUCUGUUUUUUGGUUUUAUAUUUUAACUCUUUAAAAUCAGUUUCUGUUCAAAUCUCUAAUCUGACCCGGAUGUCUGGAUUUCCAUGAACCCCCCUGUUGUCUGUGUUUCUCAUGUAAACAAGUCCAAACCUCGCGGAAACAGCUCUGUGCGCUCGCGGGUCAGAUCUCAGCGGACUGUCUCCUCUUCCUCUCCUCUCUCGGACCUUCCUCUCCCCUCUUCCUCUCCUCUCUCCCCUCUUCCUCUCCUCUGAUCGCUCUCAGUUUGACUCCAUGUAAUAACCAACAUCUGGCCUCGCGCAGCCGGGACGGACAGGCAGGUCACGCUGAACCUCGCCAAACCCCCGCGCGCACCUCAACCAGACUCCCCCUUAUUGGACGGGAACAAGAACCAGAACCCCCAUCCGCCUCCCCUCCUUCUCCUCCCCAGACUCCCUCUGGCCUGUCAGGCUGUCAGUCCGGAGCCCGGUUCAGGAACAGUUCACGCUGUCAGUGGACCUCCAAAACCAGGACAGGAGAGCCAAAGGUCCGAGGAGGGGAGAAGAGGGUGAGGAGGGGGGAGACUCAGGUGGAGGAACCCAAAGAAGAGAGGUCUGACUACCUGAGGGAAAAACCGGGACAUUCUGGUCCAGUUAGCAGAACAAGAAGGAGGAAAAUCUGGGCGAGUGUGAGGGGAGGAGGGGAGAGAGGGGAGAGAGGGGUGAGGAAGAAGAGGCUGAAGAAGAGCAGAGGGACUCAGCUCCUCUCUCUUGGGGGAGCAGGGAGAGGAAAGGGUGGAGGAGAGGAAAGACAGAGGUAGAGACAGAGGAGGAGAGCCCGGGGAAGACGGCGUCACGCUCACAACCCUCGGUCUGAGAAAAGGCUCGUGCAGCUCUCAGGGCCCUGCAGAGGAGCGCGAGCUGCUGCUGCUGGCACGGCACGCACCGGCCCCGCUACACGGAGGAUUCUGCAGCACGGGCGGAGGGGUGGGGGUUAAGCGCGCGCACGAGGUGUGUUUUUUAGGGGUAAAGUAGCACCGCGAGCCCCCAGACCGAGCAGUCCCCGUCAGCUGGUCUGCUGUAGGUCGACUCUGAUGGUUCCGGAGCUCGAGAUUUAUGGCUUCUCCCGAACCGGGCACGCAAACGUCUGUAGUCCCCUCACCGAGACGACCUCCUCAGCCAAGCAGCACCGGGAUUCACGCGCCGAGGAGGAAGAAGAGGAGCGAUCAGACUGAAGAGGAAGAGGGUCAGACCGGCUGCGCGUAAUUACGCACAACAAUCAGAGGAAACGUGUCCAAGAUCCCCGGGUCCACGGUGUCCGCACGUGUCCACGACAGAGAGAGAGAGAGAGAGAGGGAGAGAGAGAGAGAGAGAGAGCAGGUAAGGUCCGCCGGGAUGCUCCUCGCGCAGUGUCCCGGUGUGUUCCCGUGGCGUCCCCAUCCCACGCGCUCCGCCGCAGACAUGUCAUUAAUUAUCUGUUGUGUGUGACCGUGGUCUCUCUCUCGAGCUCACAGAGGCAUCCGGGGUGUGCCCGCGUGCAGGCUCUGAUGCUAGCCAAAAAGUUUUUUCUCUCUCCAGUGUGUGUGUGUGUGUGUGUGUGUGUGUGUGUGUGUGUGUGUGUGUGUGUGUGUGUGUGAAGACAGAUGCCUGAGGGUAGGUAACAAACACGCGGCUCUGUCUCUGUUUGUGUGUCUCUCUCAGCGUCAUUGAAGAAGUUUUGCAGGAGGUGUGUGUGUGUGUGUGUGUGUGUGUGUGUGUGUGUGUGUGUGUGUGUGUGUGUGUGUGUCUUGUAGUGAAUAGGGACCUGACGGCUAGGUGUAAAGAAAGAAGAUGCAUGUUAGCUGCUCUGUGAUUUAUGAUGGUGUGAAGAGAUUGCUUACUCAAGAAGCCGUCCCGUCCCCCUCCCUCUCUCCUCUCCUCUCCUCAGAUUGUCAUGUCCUCCUUCUCCUCCUUCCCCCCAAAACACACAACAGACCCACAAAUGGUCCUACCUGCAAAAACAGAUUCCUCCUUUAGCAGAUGCAUGUGAGGCGCUCAUUAAUUCACAGUUUCAGUCUGACCCUCAUCCAGCCUGACUGUGUUUGUAUCUUAUUGCAAACUCCUGCAGUCUAAAGUCCAUUUAAUCGGAGAUCUUUAGUUUAUAAAAGAGAAAUAAAAACACAAAUCUAAUCAUGCAUGUGCCGGAUUUAAGGAUUUAAAGUCCAUAAUAUUACAGAAAGUUUAUUAAAUAUCCGAUCACAUCCUUGUUUUCUUCUCCUGCUCGUUCUAAACCGACCAGACUUCAAUGUUUAGAAAUUACUUUAUUCAUUUUCUCUUCCUUCUUUAUCUUCUGAACUGUUUUUAGUUUCAUCAGGUUAUUUCUCAAGAGCAGAAACAGAGAAGCAGAUGUUGUUUUUUGUGCAGUAUCAGUGGAGGAUGAUGAGUUGGGUUAAAAUGUUGCUGUUAAAUAUAAAUAUCUGGAGUGAGCGGACAGCUCCUCCUGGAUCUUGACCUCGUGGUUUUUCCUCUCACUUCCGGCUAUAGAGACUUUAAAGUCAUGAUAAAGCCACAGCGACUCCAACGCAGCCGUGAUUUAAUUGAUUUUUUCAUACAUCACUGACAGACGAUGGGAAAAACACCAAUCAGAGUAAAAUAGAGGGGCGAGCGCGGCUGAGGCUGAGGCGGUGGAUAAAGGCUGACAGGUCUGGCUGAGGUCCAUGCGGCCGCUCUGCUGCUCCAACAGGCUGCCGGCCUGAUUAGGUUACAAUCACAGGCGUCUUUUUUUGAUCGCUGUGUCAGGAGAUGAGCAUGUUGUUAGGAAGCGGAUACAGGGUUAGGUUUUUACUCCUGCAGGUUGUUGACGAUCAGAGUAAUGAGGCCUCAAAGAAACUCAGGAAAUCCAUUUUAAAGACGACGCCAAACCGCAAAACGACUACAAAUACAUGCUGGAGAGUUUCUGAACAACAGGCAGUAACUGUAACAGUGAGUCUGUCUUGGGGCCCAACUCACAAAAAGAGAUCCAAAACAGUGAAGUGUCCUCCUGUAAACCUGCAGAGGAGCUGUGGAGAUGUUCUGCUGCAGAGCUCAGAGUUUUCCUCCAAGUUCUUCUCAAAGAUAGAUCUGUUGUCACUCUGAACCAAACCUUCAAAUCACUGCUGCUGUUUGGGAGUGCAGAUUUAUCUCAGUGAGGUCAGGUCUGCAGAUGCGUUGGUUUCUGGUUCAUGAUCUGGUCCUUGAUUCCUCUCUGUUUCUUUCUCUGCUCUAAAAAUUCACACUCUGAAUUUGGCUUUUCUCUAAAAUAAAUAUCUAAAUAUUCAUCAGUACUUGUUUUGAAUAACCAAACCUGAAGAAACUAUCUCAGAAAAAAAAAAACAUGCAUUUUUUUUUUUUUACGGUUAAAAUCCACGUAGAGCUUUUGGUUUGUGUUGAUUUUGGCGCCCCCUGUGGUGUUAUCUUGCGUGUACCUAACUUCGUAUUUCUUGACACAAAAAUUCACCUUUCCGUCUUUUAACUGUCAGAUUUAUUAACUCAUCCUGAUCAUUUCUUUCUCUAAACCCUGAUCACUGAGGUUCUGGACUCUUUUCAGACCUCUGAAUCGUCUUCUGUCUGUUUUUUGUUCCUUUACGUCUUUGAGAGAAAACUUAUUUUUGUCCGUUUUAUAACCAGCUGAAAAUUUUCUCGAGUGAGCUAUGAAAACAGUCAGCGGUCCAAAACAGACGGAGAAGGAAUAAAAUGUGGAGAAUUUCCCUAAAAUGAUUAAAACUGAACUGAAAGUGAACUUCUUAUUAGUGCGACAAAGAAAUACGACAUUAUUUUCUCAAUCAGAGGAAAAUGUCCAAAAUUGUAGUAUGAAAUUCUAACCUAAAUGUCUUUAAAUUAAUCUGUACAACCAAUAAGAAAAACUGAGUUAAUGCACAGACUGGUUUACUCAAAGAUUUCUGUGUUUUUAUGUCGAACUGAAGAUGAAAUCAUGAAGAUCCUGAAGAGUGGAAUUAAAUUUUAGAGAUCUGAAGAUAAUCGAGGAAAGAAAACGUUCAAACGUGGAAAAUGUUCAGAUUCAAGAUGUCUUUGUUUAGGUUUAGCAUCACAGCUCAGCUCAGCGCACGCACACACACACACACACACACACACACACACACACACACACACACACACACACACACACACACACACACACACACACACACACAGAGCAUUCACAUCCAUCCCUGUUUCUCUGACGCCUGACAGACUUGGUGAGCUUGGCACUUUUCACGGCCCAGGAGCAGAAAGGGCAGAGUGACCCCCUACAAACACUCAUCCCCUCUCUCUUUACCUCUCUCUCUCUCUCUCUCUCUCUCUCUCUCUCUUUACCUCUCUCUCUCUCUCUUUACCUCUCUCUCUCUCUCUUUCUCUCGCUCUCUCUGUCAGGCCUCUCUUUCAGUGCGAGGUUAAAGAUUAGCAUCUCUGAUAAAGAUUAACUCUCCGUCAAAGGAAGGCGCUGAUCGCAGGAGUUUCUGGUUCAGGAUUGUCGGUGACUCGGGGGGCGAGCUCUUCGGGGGGUGUAGAUGUGUGACCCUGCCUGCAGCGAGAGAGCGGGGUGAACACCACGUGACAAAACGCUGCGAUAUAAGAUCCGAGGCCUGAAACGUUCGUGUGUGUAGAAAUAAGAGGCUCGGUUUAACCGCUCCUCUGACGUCACACGAGCCUCACAGACGCCAUGAUCGAGGCCUGAGGUGCAUUAGUGAGCAGCCAUGUUGGUUUUCUGCGGCCACAAUAGAAGGUGUUUCAGGAGGCGAAGGAUUGUAGGCCCACAUCAUGAAGAGUGUGACUGAAAAAAUGGAGGUCUGCAGACAGAGAGAGAGCUGCUCUUUAGAGGGUUUAAAAGUAGACAUCAAAAAUAUCAUCAGUCUGUCACUCAAAGAGGCCACGCCCCUUUUUAUCAUCCUGAUCGUCUACUAAAAGGUCGUAUCCUCCGAUCGUAGCUGAUCGUAACCAUUCAAGUUAACGUGUUAAUUUACACCGACUUCUUUCCGUUCCUCUGCGGAUCGCCGGACUCCUCAGCUGAUCACAAGAGUUCUAUUUUUUCUGGACGCCGGAGCAUGGCGGAUAAAUUCAGCACAGAUUAACCUGUGCUGGAAAGGAAGUCGGGCACAGACACAAAAUAAAACAUCCGGCUUCCUUUCAAAAUAAAACACUCCGUGUUUCAGGAGGAUCGUAUUUCACACCAUGCAAACGGGCGGAGACGAACAAGUGAAAGGUUUUUAGACGUCAUUUCACCCCGAUGACACCAUGGAUGAGGAGAUGCUGAUUCUAGAAGUCUAGAAGUAGAUUUCCUCCUCUGGAAGGACACAAUCUACUGCUUAUAUGUCUAUGCGUCUGUCUUUAUAGAGACAACUCAUUAUCGUGAGAUUGCAUGAGGAUCCACGGGUUCUUGUGAGUUCUCGUGGUUACCGUUGUCCAUAAUUGUCGGACAGUAAAAAUCCCCACCGUUCCAGAUGGGGUGAAAAUUGAUGAUAAGGAUUGACUCAGUUUUGUAUCCAGCCCCGAGUGGACACUUGAGGAACUGCAGUUUCUUCUUCAUGUUUCCUCUCUUGGUUUUGGCUCGUCAGUAAACAGGAUGUGGUCUCCGCUCCAGUCUUGAUUGAAGCCUUCAGCUCUUAUUGUUGGUUAAUUUACACUCGGCUCUCAGACCCACACUGGAAAAUCAAAUGUGUGGACUUGAGCAGAAGCUCAGCUGUGCUCCAAACUGGACUCCAAUAGGUCUUUUGUACACAGGCAGAGCGUAAUGCCUCAGUUAUGUGUCCACAGCCACGAGCUACAGACUUCAUAAGUGGAAGAUUUGUUCAGAUUUCACAGGCUUGAAUGGAAAGAACAAAAUGAGGGGAUGUACAUCACAGCGGCACAUGAUGCCAUCUCUGCUGUCAUGCUUCAGUUCCCACCCUGGGUAACGACACAGAGAGACGCCGUCUUCUUCACAGAGCGAUGGCGGGACACGCCCGUGGAGGUUACGUCAUGUGGACUGGUCGUGGAGCGAACAGCCAACAAAGUGAUCUCAAAGCUGUGAAAGCGUUUUUGUUUCUCUUACGGAGGUUUUCGUUAAACUCAGAUUAGUUCUGUCAGCGUGGAGAGUCGGAGACCUAAACCAGCUCUUUGUUUGGCGUACAGUUCCUGCAGGUCCUACCUCAACGAUAGAGUUAGUGACUGCAGGCAUCAGUCAAGGGAUUAUUAUAUUUAUAUUGCGCUAAAUCUCAACGAUGGUUGUCUUGUGUGUAAUGUGGAGUGUUUCAAACAGCUGAUUGAAGGUCGACGGUGUUUGUGAUGUUUUCAUCGUUGUGUAAGGGGAUCUAAUCUAGUGCAGCUUCACAAAGGGACGGUACAGGAGGAUCCUAUCCUAUUGUUGUGUUUUGUGUAUAUAUGUGUAUUGUAGGGCUCCAUAUUGUAUCAUAAUACAGUUCAUGGUUUUAUAUGUCAGUGUGUCACUUUGUUUUGAAGAUCAUAUCAUAAAUCAUUAGAGAGUAUGAUGGCGUCUGUUCCUGUCAUAUAUAACAUAUCAUGACCUCCAUCACAUCAUAUUAUAUCAUCUAUAACAUUAUAGUGUGCACUGAUAGUGUUUCACAUUAUAUUGUGAUUUGUCUAUAUGACACAUGUGACAUAUUCUACUGUAAUAUUUUGUAGUAAUAUUAAACUGAAGAUCAGAAUUCAGUCUAUCUUAUCAUAUAAUGUCGUGUUGUUCUCUAUUACACACAUUUCAUUGUGUUGUAACACACUGUUAGUCCUGAAUCAUAACAUAAUAGGUUAUAUUCUAUCCUAGUAUAUUAUAUUAUAUUGUAUACAUCAUAUGCGUUGUCCUAUCAUAUAUAUGUAUAUAUGUAAUACUAAUCUCUUACACAGUACUCUUAUUUUACACUAUAACUCAAUAUUUGAUCAUAUUGCAUAUAUAUCAUCAUAUAUCCUUCCUUAUAAUAGAUCCUCCUAUCAGUUUACAUUGUUGUGUAACUCUAUAGUAUAAUAUAUCUACUGUAUCCUCCAUAUAGGACCACCUUAUAUCUUUAUGUAUUAUAUGUCUUGUUGCCCUAUAAUCCCUGAUCUGAUCAUGUUCCACCAUCUUAUCCUUCUGUAUUUUACUCCAACAGUUUCAAACUCUCUGAUACUCACAGAUCCGCAGAGAAGCGGCGGCGUCUUCCUCUCUCUCAGUUUCUCUCAUUAGUCCAGAUCUCCUCUCUGAAAACCGGGUGUUGAAACUCGUAUGUCAUCCACCCGGAGCCGAGGGCGAGGAGAUGAAAUGUGUUGCAGUGUAGUUUUGUCGUCGCUUGUCCAUUUUGGCGCGGCUGUGUUGGUGGUGUUGGUGAUGGCGCCGCGUGGUCGUUCAAGCUCAUUUCACCUCAAGGAAAAGCUUCACGUGGACCUGAUGAAAAACGUCGUUUUUGGCGAAGAAGUGACUGAUCGAUAGGAUGAGGUCAAAUCUGUAGAAAGACACAAAGGUGGAAGAAAGAAAAAGUGGAUGAGUUUGUGUUUUGGUUUUAUUUUUAACUUUUUCAGAGAAACAUAAACACCAACAACAGAGAACAUUUUAACAUUAAGUCUCAGAAACUCUAAUGAAAGAAAAACCCUGAAGAUCAUUUCUGAGGAAUGUUUGAAGCGGCGCUCUGGCGUUGCAGUAAAUGGCGUCAAAUCCGGAAAUUGGAUACACAUGGGGGGAUGUGUUCAGCAGAUGGGUUGUUUGAGGUCAGGACGUUUUGAAGCUGUUUUUCUGUAUUUCUCCAGCCAUGGCAACCGCAGUUUGAAACGUUUCUCAGGUGGUUGAAUUAGGCCGCGAGGUUUCAUAUGAAUUUCUGCAGUUUAACAACAACCUUUGCCAAAGUUGGCACUCGGCUCAGGAGCGAGUUGGAAGUCUGACGGUUCAGAAGAAACGCUCGUGUUUCUGUUAAAUUGGCUGUUUUCUUCAGGUGGGGUGGUUAACACUUAAAAUUGGUCUCUUUUUGUACUUUAUGGUUCUAGACUCAGAAUAUCUUUUACACUCAAGUUUAUCAUCAUUAAGUCAAACUGAGUUUCAUUUCUGCACAACAGCUGUGGAGAAACAAAUUCAGAUUUUACACUGAAUUAUAAAAUUUGACUGAACUUGCAGAAAAAAUUCCCCUUUUUAAAAUUUCUACAAACCCGGCCUUUGAUAACAUGUUUGUGUGACCUGUGUAUUUAAUCAGCUGUAUGUGUAUUUGUUCUAUAGUAAAUAUACUGGAGUUGUUCAGAGCAGCUCUCUCCUCUGACAGCCUAAAAGAAUCUGCUCGGAUUAAGAGCCCGGCUCGGCGCUCUGAGGAUUAAAUCAUAGAACAGUUCAUGAAAAUGAGGUCCUGGAGCACUUUUUAAGUGUGGGUUGAUCAUUAAAGAGCUGAGCUAUCGCUCCUCGGGGUCAAAGGUCACUUUUAGAGAGCUGAGCUCUAAUAUAUCACAGAGUGAGUGCUUUCGGCUCUGCGCUGAGCCAGGAGACGCCUUUUUUCCUUUCUUUUUACCGAGUCGAUCCUGACUCUGAGUUUUGGUUUUAUUUUCUGCUUUUUUGUCACAUUUUGGAGGAUCUGAGGUUGAAGUAUUUUAAUUCCAGAAACAUAAUGAGUGUUUGGAGCUGAGGUGAAAAGUUUGCAUAUGUUUCUGUGUGUGUGUGUGGGGGGGGGUGCUGAGGUAGGUCGGUGACGGCUCCACCAGACCGGGCCGAGAUAAGAGCGGAGAGCAGAGAUAAACUUUGUUCAGAGACGAUGAAACACAGAGCAGUAAACAGAGCAGUCAUCAGGAGGGAGAAUUUUUAUUUCAUAUAACAUCAGUAAAGUUUUUCAAAAGUACAAAAAUUCUGCUUCUAAAUUGAUUUAUGAAGUUUGAGGUCAAAUUCUUUAAAGCUUCAACAAAACCAGCUGAAAAAAACAAACAGGUUUAAACAGAUAUAAAGUUUUCAGACGUGUAAACUCAGAAAAAAAAACAGUUUUAAAAUGAAAGGAGGUGAUUCUUUGUACUUUGUCAGUGUGAGUUUUUGUUCCAGCUCUUCAUUCCUUCCUCUCCCUGGAGUCACAAUCUGCUGUUCACUCACUUUAGAUCCAUUUUAUUAAAUUAUACACAGACACACACAGACAGACAAACACAGAAGGGCUUUUUGUUACUUCCACCUCUGUUUCUGCUCCAUCCUUCUUCUCAAAAAACAGAAAAAAAAACUCUUCUUCACUGUUUGAUUUGGAUUCAGGAUCCUUCAGGAGGAUCUCAAAGUCCCCCCUCAUCAUCAUCCUCCUCUUCCUCCUCUUCAAAUUUGGCUCAUCAGCUGUUCUGCUGGCUCUGGAGGCGGCCUCCUCCCUUUGUCUCGGCCUCUGGGCUAGCUGGCUAAGCUAGUCGGCCCUCGCAUCACUUUCUGGGUAACUUUAGACUAGUCCACUCCUGCUCCGAGGCUCCAAAUAUCCGGCUGACCCGCGGGGCCGAGUGGGGACGAGCAGGGAGGAGAGCCCGGCCGGGAUGGAUGGCAGCCAGAGCUGUGCGUGAGUGCGUAAAAGAGAGAAAAAUCACUUUAUAGUGGUGGUAGUAGGUGUAGUAGGAGUUGUUGUAGUUGUAGUAGUGGAGGUGGUGAUGGUGGAGCAGGCUGGUACGGGAGGUCGAGGGAUCCUGGUUUGAUUUAUGUGUUUGGGGGAAGCUGUCACGAGCAGAAACAGGAGCAGCGCGCGGACUCACGUUUGAUUCCUGCGCGUUAAUAAUGGAGAAGAGCCGGAGAGCGCGUGCAUACCACCUCACACUCUUUACGCACAAAUAUUACACAACUUUAUCACCAUCAUCAUCCACCACCUCUACAGUCCGCGGGCACAGACAGGGAUGGAGCUGCAGCUGUUACCGGCCGGGAUCCGUCCUCUCACCCCGGGCAUGAGCACCGAGCGCAGCCCGGGAUGAGUGCUCUCUCCCCGGGCAGGAUGAGGAGUUAUUUAUGCGCUCGGAUGAGAAACAGCUGUUUGAAUUUCUUGGGUUCUUUCUCAUCUUUCUUUGCUCUUUUUUGGCCUGUUUGCUGUUUAACUCUUGAAUCAUUAUUAUGUUUUCACUAUUGCUGUUUUAAUCUGUUUAUAUUUGGACUUUAAGAGCUGGAAAUAAUAUUUUUAUGGACAUUAUCGUUCAAAUCUGCUCGGAUUUACACUCAGAUAAUGAACACUAGAUAUUCGAUAGUUUUUAUUUUUGAGUCUUCUUUAGUUUUACAUUUUUGUGUUAUUAAAUAUAUAAAAACACAAAUUUAUUAUUCUAUAUCUUUAAAACGGCUUAGACUCGUUUUAUUUUUUAUAUUAAUUUAAAGGUCUUUUUCUCUGUUCUUAGAGAUCACAUUUCUGUUUUCCUAGUUUGCCUUUUUCACUACAUUUUUCCCAAGUAUUUUUAAAAUAAUCUGGAUUUUUUUUAAUGUCUCGUUUCUGAUUGGAAAAAAAAACAUCCAUCUCGUUUUUUUUCCUCCUUCAUCAGACAUCGACAGGCUUUCCAAAUCAGACGUUUCCACCCUUUUAAGAGACAGAGGCAGCUCUGUAAAUAUGACAGGAUAUGUAAUAGGAUCAUCAGAAUCAAUAAGCUCAUGUUUCAGCCUCCUCUCCUCUCUGCACUUUGAUUUGUAUUCCGGGAUUUCUUUGUGAAUAAUUUGGACAGUAAGAACUCUGAGUCUCAGUUUAAACAAACAUUUCCAUCAAAUAUCUUCAUCUCUGUUUCUCUCUCUCUCUUCUGUCUGCAGGAGUUUUCCGGAAGCUGUUUUCUUCCAUCAAAUCAUCAGAAAAUAGGAGGAAAUCUCUCGGUGAGUCCAGAUCUGUUUUUACUUUAUUUUUAAUUUAAUUAGAAGAAGAGUUUAUAAAUCUGAGUGUUUAAUGAUCGAAACGACAAAGAGCAGAGAGGAUGCGCAGAUUUCGAUUCAUCACCUCGUGUUUGUGCGUAUUUAUGCAGAAUCAUUCAAAGUUAGACUACAAAAAUAUUUCUAAAUAUGUUUUAUCCUCUUUCAAAUAAUAAGAAAAUCGAUCUUAAAAUAAAUAAACUGUUUAAUUUUUAUCCGGAUAAUCCAAACAACAGAUUUGUCAGAUUCCUCAUAUUUUAUUCUUUGUUAGGAUUUAAUUUUAAUUAGUAGACUCCAGCUUUUACAGUCAUAACUCACUAAAUAUGAUCAUGAAUCAUCCAAAAGAACUUAAAGAUUGAAAAUGUUGCUGAUUCUGUUGGAAAUGUUCAUGUUGAAAUGAAUAUUCGGUUUUUACGCGCGGAGUUUGUGCCAAAUUCAUGCAAAAAAAUAAAGCGUGCAUGUGAUCUGAUGUUGUAUAUGACACGUGUUAAUGUAAUAUAAUCCAGAGGUGUGAAGGGCGUUCACAGCAGGACACACAGCAGGGUCAGUUCAUCAUUUCAGGACAGUUAUUAAAACAGCAAUCUGCGGCUACAGCAGCAGGACUGAGACCAACGCCAACAUCAGACCAACAUCACCAAGAGCAAAACUGCAGACCAGCUGCACAAUUAUUUACAUUCAGACCGUUUAGAAAAGAGCAAACACCCCUAAAAGUCCGUUUCUCUGUAAGAUUCUGACAUAUUUAUAUGAACAUGGAGUAAAACUGCGUAAAAACGGAUUUUAAUCCCCCAAAGUCUUAGGAAAUUCCUUUGUGCCCUCCUCAUGGCCCACAUGUCUCAGGUCCUGAGGGGGAAAAGGAAGAAAAAAAUGGAGGGAGCAUUUCCAUGGCUGUGCAGGGCGCAGAGUUUCAGUUGUGAAACCCAAUACCCGUGACUCAAUCCGAAACACGGAGCCGUCCAUGCGCGUCUGCCAUCCAGGAAAAUAAAGAAUAACUGCCAUCCUGCACAAGCACCGGCCUGCGUUUCCACGUCACUGCGUACAUGUAAUCCGCGUCUGAGUUCCCACACUUCUACCACUGCUGCUGCUGCUUCUCUGUGGAAACUCACAGUCAAAGAGCAGAAAGAGCUGAUUAGCAGUUUGGUUAAUGAGUAAAGAUCCGUGAGUCCUUCACACAAAAGCCUCUUUGGAGGAAAAGUUGCAGACGGACACAUUUCAGGCUCCCACCUUCCACCUACACGGAGGAGCUCAUCCUCACAUUUCUGCAGCCCACAGCGAAUGCUAUCUGCUUUAAAGUUGGGCUGUUUACACACACACACUCUCUCACACACACACUUUCUCACACACACACGCUGCUGGGUGCGAGAAAACUCAUAAAUCUUACGUAGCCAUAAACGACAGGGGUAGCGUCCUGAAUAAUAAAAAUAGAGGGAAGAGGGAGAGAGAGAGAGUGUGUGUGUGAGAGUGAGAGAGUUCCACACACACACAGGAGAAGAGAGGGUGUGUUUGUGUGUGAAACAAGUGUAGCUCCAUAUUUCCUCUCUGUUUCUGUUUCCUUUCUCCACUUUAAACUGAAAUGUUGAAUUUCUCUAAAAAUUGUCUGGAGGUGUUGAAUUCAGAGGCCUCAGAGUUUCUCCCCUGUCUCCUCCCCUCCUUCCUUCCUUCCCUUUUCUUUUCUUCCUUUAUUUAUCUUUUUCUGUGCAUAAGCAGCAGCAGGGGGAGACGAGGUGAUGAAAUGUUAACAAUACAGAGUGAGUGUCUAGUUUCUGCAGGGAGACAUGAAGGGGUUAGCUGCAGGAGAGGGGGGCUCUGCAGAAACAGGGAUUUAAAUAAAUACAUUAGCCUGAAAGAAGAAGAAGAAGGAGAAGAAGCAUAAAAAUGUCACCAAAAUAUGAAGGAGUGAUUUCACCAGAGGAUAAUAAACAACCUGUGGUCUGGAAGUGCAGAGAGUUCCCUCUGAUGGAGCUUUAAAUACUUAUUUAUGGAGAUCUGUGAAACAAAUUAAAGCUAACAGAUAAUAAUUCAGAAGCUCUGAAAGGACUGUGAUGUGAGAGCUGGUUGGUGCUUUGGUUUAAUCCGCCUCUGUUCAUCAUAAUCUCAGAUUUUACAGUCUAAUCUUUGCCUAAAUAGUCUUAUUUACGUUUUUUCUGACAUGUUGAAACCUCUAAGAUCUUCAUGUGGACUACAAAGUCUGUGUUCAUGAUGUUUGACCUUAUCCUGUCCACUCUCAUCAUCAUAGCUAACUAAUAGCUAACCUCGAUCGUAGUGGUCUCUUUUCUUAGGCCUGCUAGCCUGGACUAAUAAUCUGAAAAGAAAUUAUGUUAUAAAUAUGGCCUCCCCUCUAAAAUAGACUAAUAUUUUCUUGAAAUCAGAGUUUUUAAAGGGUAAAAUCAGAGUUCUGAUCAUGUUUCAGUGCUGCGUAAAAGUUCUCCAAGUUUACGCAGACCUCCUGUUGUUGGAGACUCUUUGUAAUCUCGGUUGUGACUGAAUGUGGAGCUUUAUUUGGGUGUAAGAGCAGACUCUCAGCAUGCUGGCAGGGCGAACAUCAGUGCCUGUGUGUUGCACUUGCAGAGAGAGUUAAUUAGCAUAAUUUGUGAGUGACGCUGAGCUGUUGUUUGAUGGAGAAUCAACGCGUCCGCGAGUCAAGCCCCGUUAUUCCCUCCGUUACACCCCGGGAGCGUCGCUGGUACCCGGGCUAGACUGUCGCCAACAACAUGGGAAUAUCAACAAGGAAACUCCAGCCGUACUGCGACUAUAUUUAGGCUGCUGGUGCUGCCGUUAGCCCUGCAGAGUCCGGGAUUAAAGCUCCGCGUAAAAAACCACCAGGGAGCGGAGCGAAGCGGGAGUUCAGACCCAGAGACAGAGAGGCAGGCGCGGAGGGACAGAGCCAGGAGACCCGGGGAGGAGAACCGGGGACAUAGAGGAGCAGAGAGGAGCAGAGAGGAGCUGUGGAUCAUGCGAUGGGGUGACAUUUUGUUGCGGAGCUGUGUGUCCGUCUGAGCGGCUGUUUUUUUUUGUUCUGGCUGGUUGUGACAGACUGAGGGGCUCAAACCGACACGAUUCUGAGGCCAUUGUUAUCAGCAGCAGCAGCGGUGCAGGCAGCAGCGGUGCUGGGGCGGAGGGCGGAGGUGGAGGGGGGUGGGGGGGCGCGAGCAGGCAGCAGGCAGGCUCCCGGUAAGCUCCUUCAGCUCGUGCGCUAGCUAGCCUGCCUGUAGCCUUGCACUACCGAGCCUUCCCGUUAAUUCAGACCCCCCCCACACACCGACGCCGUGUCUGCUCUGCUCUCUUAUCCGUUCAUGCCACACGGUGUCCGGGCUGCAGCCCCCGCGGAGCCCGGUCUGCUGGAGGCGGCUGGAGGAGGAGGAGGAGGUGGUGUUGUUGUGAGCCGUGCUAGUCUUCAGACAGCACCGGAGGAGGAGGAGAGGAGCACGGGAGGGAGCGGGGUCGCUCUUUAUUUCAUUAUUUACGGUUCUUAUUGAUCACCUGGUGGACGGACGCGCGUGAGGAUUUAUCUGUGAUGCGGUGCUGCUGCGGGGUCCGUGCCGGACUGGACCGGGACCACCGGUGCUAAGGGAAGGUAAGGAGCAGGAGUGUGUGUGUGAGUGUGUGUGUGUGUGCAGGCCAGCCGGUAACGCACGGGCUCCACAACAAACCAGAAAUACAGUGUGUGUGUGUGUGUGUGCGUGUUUGUCCGCGUGCAGCUCCAGGCUGGCUCAGUGAUUUAUGGCCCGUAUGACUUCAGACCCGGUUCAAGAAGAGUUCACACCGCUUUAAGCUGGAGCGGCCCCCCUCCUCCUCCUC